CACGUAGGGCGCAAGCGUUGUCCGGAAUUAUUGGGCGUAAAGAGCUCGUAGGCGGUCUGUUACGUCUGCUGUGAAAACCCGGGGCUUAACCCUGGGCUUGCAGUGGAUACGGGCAGACUAGAGGCAGGUAGGGGAGAAUGGAAUUCCCGGUGUAGCGGUGAAAUGCGCAGAUAUCGGGAGGAACACCGGUGGCGAAGGCGGUUCUCUGGGCCUGACCUGACGCUGAGGUGCGAAAGCGUGGGGAGCAAACAGG
This 253-nucleotide ribosomal RNA is filed under the name uncultured bacterium. RNAcentral describes it as "partial 16S ribosomal RNA". It matches the Rfam family "Bacterial small subunit ribosomal RNA", at positions 524 to 776 of the family's 1533-position model. The record is from RNAcentral.